This 450-nucleotide ribosomal RNA is filed under the name uncultured bacterium. Its description in RNAcentral is "bacterial SSU rRNA". It matches the Rfam family "Bacterial small subunit ribosomal RNA", at positions 354 to 796 of the family's 1533-position model. The record is from RNAcentral.
GUGGGGAAUUUUGGACAAUGGGCGAAAGCCUGAUCCAGCAAUGCCGCGUGCAGGAUGAAGGCCUUCGGGUUGUAAACUGCUUUUGUACGGAACGAAAAGCUUCGGGUUAAUACCCUGGAGUCAUGACGGUACCGUAAGAAUAAGCACCGGCUAACUACGUGCCAGCAGCCGCGGUAAUACGUAGGGUGCAAGCGUUAAUCGGAAUUACUGGGCGUAAAGCGUGCGCAGGCGGUUUUGUAAGACAGAGGUGAAAUCCCCGGGCUCAACCUGGGAACUGCCUUUGUGACUGCAAGGCUAGAGUACGGCAGAGGGGGAUGGAAUUCCGCGUGUAGCAGUGAAAUGCGUAGAUAUGCGGAGGAACACCGAUGGCGAAGGCAAUCCCCUGGGCCUGUACUGACGCUCAUGCACGAAAGCGUGGGGAGCAAACAGGAUUAGAAACCCCAGUAGUCC